Molecule: long non-coding RNA, 669 nt
Filed under: Chlamydomonas reinhardtii
Lineage: Eukaryota; Viridiplantae; Chlorophyta; Chlorophyceae; Chlamydomonadales; Chlamydomonadaceae
Description: long non-coding RNA (CREI_LNC000242)
Source: RNAcentral
CUUCGCCCUCGCCCCCUUCACCGUCACCUCCCUCGCCGCAGCCCCCUACGCCUCCUUCACCUGGUUCGGAGGAAGCAGCACCGUCUCCCUCACCUCCCUCUCCCGCUCCGCCCUCACCGUCUCCUCCCUCGCCGCAGCCCCCUACGCCGCCUUCACCUGGUUCGGAGGAAGCAGCACCGUCUCCCUCACCUCCCUCUCCCGCUCCGCCCUCACCGUCUCCUCCCUCGCCGCAGCCCCCUACGCCUCCUUCACCUGGUUCGGAGGAAGCAGCACCGUCUCCCUCACCUCCCUCUCCCGCUCCGCCCUCACCGUCUCCUCCCUCGCCGCAGCCCCCUACGCCUCCUUCACCUGGUUCGGAGGAAGCAGCACCGUCUCCCUCACCUCCCUCUCCCGCUCCGCCCUCACCGUCUCCUCCCUCGCCGCAGCCCCCUACGCCUCCUUCACCUGGUUCGGAGGAAGCCGCACCGUCUCCCUCACCUCCCUCUCCCGCUCCGCCCUCACCGUCUCCUCCCUCGCCGCAGCCCCCUACACCUCCUUCACCUGGUUCGGAGGAAGCCGCACCGUCUCCCUCACCUCCCUCUCCCGCUCCGCCCUCACCGUCUCCUCCCUCGCCGCAGCCCCCUACACCUCCUUCACCUGGUUCGGAGGAAGCCGCACCGUCUCCCUCAC